This 1419-nucleotide ribosomal RNA is filed under the name Lactiplantibacillus plantarum. Its description in RNAcentral is "bacterial SSU rRNA". It matches the Rfam family "Bacterial small subunit ribosomal RNA". Lineage: Bacteria; Bacillati; Bacillota; Bacilli; Lactobacillales; Lactobacillaceae. The record is from RNAcentral.
GAACUCUGGGUAUUGAUUGGUGCUUGCAUCAUGAUUUACAUUUGAGUGAGUGGCGAACUGGUGAGUAACACGUGGGAAACCUGCCCAGAAGCGGGGGAUAACACCUGGAAACAGAUGCUAAUACCGCAUAACAACUUGGACCGCAUGGUCCGAGCUUGAAAGAUGGCUUCGGCUAUCACUUUUGGAUGGUCCCGCGGCGUAUUAGCUAGAUGGUGGGGUAACGGCUCACCAUGGCAAUGAUACGUAGCCGACCUGAGAGGGUAAUCGGCCACAUUGGGACUGAGACACGGCCCAAACUCCUACGGGAGGCAGCAGUAGGGAAUCUUCCACAAUGGACGAAAGUCUGAUGGAGCAACGCCGCGUGAGUGAAGAAGGGUUUCGGCUCGUAAAACUCUGUUGUUAAAGAAGAACAUAUCUGAGAGUAACUGUUCAGGUAUUGACGGUAUUUAACCAGAAAGCCACGGCUAACUACGUGCCAGCAGCCGCGGUAAUACGUAGGUGGCAAGCGUUGUCCGGAUUUAUUGGGCGUAAAGCGAGCGCAGGCGGUUUUUUAAGUCUGAUGUGAAAGCCUUCGGCUCAACCGAAGAAGUGCAUCGGAAACUGGGAAACUUGAGUGCAGAAGAGGACAGUGGAACUCCAUGUGUAGCGGUGAAAUGCGUAGAUAUAUGGAAGAACACCAGUGGCGAAGGCGGCUGUCUGGUCUGUAACUGACGCUGAGGCUCGAAAGUAUGGGUAGCAAACAGGAUUAGAUACCCUGGUAGUCCAUACCGUAAACGAUGAAUGCUAAGUGUUGGAGGGUUUCCGCCCUUCAGUGCUGCAGCUAACGCAUUAAGCAUUCCGCCUGGGGAGUACGGCCGCAAGGCUGAAACUCAAAGGAAUUGACGGGGGCCCGCACAAGCGGUGGAGCAUGUGGUUUAAUUCGAAGCUACGCGAAGAACCUUACCAGGUCUUGACAUACUAUGCAAAUCUAAGAGAUUAGACGUUCCCUUCGGGGACAUGGAUACAGGUGGUGCAUGGUUGUCGUCAGCUCGUGUCGUGAGAUGUUGGGUUAAGUCCCGCAACGAGCGCAACCCUUAUUAUCAGUUGCCAGCAUUAAGUUGGGCACUCUGGUGAGACUGCCGGUGACAAACCGGAGGAAGGUGGGGAUGACGUCAAAUCAUCAUGCCCCUUAUGACCUGGGCUACACACGUGCUACAAUGGAUGGUACAACGAGUUGCGAACUCGCGAGAGUAAGCUAAUCUCUUAAAGCCAUUCUCAGUUCGGAUUGUAGGCUGCAACUCGCCUACAUGAAGUCGGAAUCGCUAGUAAUCGCGGAUCAGCAUGCCGCGGUGAAUACGUUCCCGGGCCUUGUACACACCGCCCGUCACACCAUGAGAGUUUGUAACACCCAAAGUCGGUGGGGUAACCUUUUAGGAACCA